GACGAACGCUGGCGGCGUGCUUAACACAUGCAAGUCGAACGGAAAGGCCCUGCUUUUGUGGGGUGCUCGAGUGGCGAACGGGUGAGUAACACGUGAGUAACCUGCCCUUGACUUUGGGAUAACUUCAGGAAACUGGGGCUAAUACCGGAUAGGAGCUCCUGCUGCAUGGUGGGGGUUGGAAAGUUUCGGCGGUUGGGGAUGGACUGGCGGCUUAUCAGCUUGUUGGUGGGGUAGUGGCUUACCAAGGCUUUGACGGGUAGCCGGCCUGAGAGGGGGACCGGCCACAUUGGGACUGAGAUACGGCGCAGACUCCUACGGGAGGCAGCAGUCGGGAAUAUUGCACAAUGGGCGGAAGCCUGAUGCAACAACGCCGCGUGCGGGAUGACGGCCUUCGGGUUGUAAACCGCUUUCGCCUGUGACGAAGCGUGAGUGACGGUAAUGGGUAAAGAAGCACCGGCUAACUACGUG
This 468-nucleotide ribosomal RNA is filed under the name uncultured bacterium. Its description in RNAcentral is "partial 16S ribosomal RNA". It matches the Rfam family "Bacterial small subunit ribosomal RNA", at positions 28 to 507 of the family's 1533-position model. The record is from RNAcentral.